AACGAACGCUGGCGGCAUGCCUAACACAUGCCAGUCGAACGAGACCUUCGGGUCUAGUGGCGCACGGGUGCGUAACGCGUGGGAACCUGCCUUUAGGUUCGGAAUAACUCAGAGAAAUUUGAGCUAAUACCGGAUGAUGUCUUCGGACCAAAGAUUUAUCGCCUUUAGAUGGGCCCGCGUUGGAUUAGCUAGUUGGUGGGGUAAAGGCCUACCAAGGCGACGAUCCAUAGCUGGUCUGAGAGGAUGAUCAGCCACACUGGGACUGAGACACGGCCCAGACUCCUACGGGAGGCAGCAGUGGGGAAUAUUGGACAAUGGGCGAGAGCCUGAUCCAGCAAUGCCGGGUGAGUGAUGAAGGCCUUAGGGUUGUAAAGCUCUUUUAACCGAGAUGAUAAUGACAGUAUCGGGAGAAUAAGCACCGGCUAACUCCGUG
This 433-nucleotide ribosomal RNA is filed under the name uncultured bacterium. RNAcentral describes it as "partial 16S ribosomal RNA". It matches the Rfam family "Bacterial small subunit ribosomal RNA", at positions 29 to 507 of the family's 1533-position model. The record is from RNAcentral.